RNAcentral lists this ribosomal RNA (350 nucleotides) under uncultured bacterium. RNAcentral's name for it is "bacterial SSU rRNA". It matches the Rfam family "Bacterial small subunit ribosomal RNA", at positions 917 to 1264 of the family's 1533-position model. The record is from RNAcentral.
GGACCCGCACAAGUAGUGGAGCAUGUGGUUUAAUUCGAAGAUACGCGCAGAACCUUACCAACACUUGACAUGUUCGUCGCGACUUUAAGAGAUUAGAGUUUUCGGUUCGGCCGGACGAAACACAGGUGCUGCAUGGCUGUCGUCAGCUCGUGUCGUGAGAUGUUGGGUUAAGUCCCGCAACGAGCGCAACCCUCACUUUUAGUUGCCAUCAUUAAGUUGGGCACUCUGAAAGAACUGCCAGUGAUAAGCUGGAGGAAGGUGGGGAUGACGUCAAGUCCUCAUGGCCCUUAUGUCUGGGGCUACACACGUGCUACAAUGGCAUCUACAGAAGGCAGCGAAGUCGCAAGGCG